AAAGUAUCCAGACACCGUUGAUGAAUUUUUCCCUAUCGGAAAUCCCAAUCAAAGUCAAAGCUGAGAGCAGAAACUUGAAGCGAUGGUUGAAUGUGAAGAUGAUGCUCAGCCGCAGCACAAGAGGUAUGCUUUCUUGUCUUGCUGUUCCCCUCGUCAACUUUGUUUCAUUCGAGACAAACCCAUGUAGAGAGGCUUGUGAGAAAACCACCCUGAAACCCCCAAGUUGAGGCCAUGAAAUGCUUCACUCCCCGUCCUCUGCCUUCUUCUUUUUCUGUUAUCCCUUUGAAUCAAAUCUUGACUCAACUUGUCAAACUCAAACACUAUUCUGCCGUCAUCACUUUGAAUAGACGAAUGCUUCUCUGUGGAGUUGUUCCAAAUCACUAUACUCUGUCUAUUAUCAUCAACUGCUAUUGCCAUUUGAAUCAAAUGGGGUCUUGGCACAAUUCUUCAAAUUGGGUCUUCAACCAGACGUCUUCACCUUCAACACUCUCUCAUCCACGGCUUUGUUCUCCACAAUCAAGUGCCUGAGGCUGCACCAAAAUGCUGCAGGCAGGCGCAGGUCAUUGUAAGCCCGAUGCGCGGUUACUUUCAGCACACUAAUUAAGAAAGAUGGGAAACAACACGGCGGCAAUUCAAGUACUUUACUUGGGAAGAUGGAAGAAAGAGGAUGCGAGCCUAACAACACAGUUUCCUCAGUAUAACACCAUCAUCCAGAGUCUUUGCUAAUUGAUGAAGCAUUCUACCUCUUCUCAGAAAUGAUUACUAGAGGUAUUGCUCCAACCAUUGUUACUUACAACUCUUUGAUUCAUGGAGUUUGCAAUAUAGGCCACUGGAAACAAGCUACAAGGCUGUUGGAUGAAAUGUUGAGUCAAGGUAUCUUUCCAAAUGUCCGCACCUUCAGUGUCUUGGUUGAUACAUUCUGUAAGGAAGGGAUGGUUGUGGAAGCCAAAACUGUGCUUGAGAUAAUGAUUCAAACAGGAAUUGAGCCUCAUAUCAUUACUUACAACUCACUUAUGGACGAGGCCAGACAAGUUUUUGACCUUACGAUUGGCAGGGGCUCCAUGGUUGAUGUUUGGAGUUGUAACAUAUUGAUAAAUGGAUAUUGCAAGGGUAAAAAGAUCGAUCAGGCUUACAAGAUUUUCAACGAAAUGCCUCGUAUGGAACUUGUUCCUGAUACCGUUACUUAUACCACUCUUAUUGAUGGUCUUUGCAUCUGCAAGAGAUGUCUUCUCUAGCUUAUCAACAAAAGGAGUUCAGCCUAAUGUGAGAGCAUACAAUAUAAUGAUUCAUGGACUUUGUCACGAUGGCCUAUUAGUUGAAGCAGAAAAGUUGCUAAGAGAAAUGGGAGGGAAAGGCUGUUCUCCAGAUGGUUGCACCUAUAACACCAUUAUCCGAGGGUUGUUAAAUAUCAAUGAGACAACAUGGGCUAUGAAACUUAUUCAAGAAAUGCUUGAGAGGCGUUUCUCUGCAGACGCAUCAACUAUGGAAUUGAUAAUUGUUUUAUUGUCUAAGGAUAUAGUAGAUCCGGCUUUGUUGAUGCUGUUAAAAGAUUCACGUUAAAGUUGAUUUGAACUCUAUUAAGCUCAGGUAAUAGCAUCAGAAUGGUUGGUUGCAACAACUUUCCUUCUCCCGAUUAGAGCUCCAGUUCCAAGAAACUAGAGUUGGAUUCAUCAGAAGAGUUGUAGCACCCUGCAAUGGUGGUAAGUGCUGAAUUGCUAAAAUCCAUGGUGGCAUAUUGCGGUUGUAACUAUUCAUUGUUUAGACGGCUGUACCAAUUAAUCAAGCUUGAGAAUGGCCUCACUGCAUUGCUAGCACUAUCCUGAGAUUGGAGAUUCCCAACUCUCCGAGGGCUCUGAGGAAGCUGAGGAAGAAGAAGGAAUGGAGGAGGAGGAUGAGGAAGACGAAGAUUGUGAAGGAGAGGAUGAAGAUGAUGAGGGAGAAGAUGAAGAUGAACUGAAGAAGAAAAAGGGAGGGGAUUCUCAGACUAAGAAGAACACAUGCUCUUUAUGGGGAGUACAGAAUUUGCAGAUGAGAAGGAGUAUGACAGUUACUUGUCCAAGCACGGAGGGUGUUUAAAUGCAUACACAGAAGUAGAGCAUACUUGCUACCAUUUUGAAGUGAAACGAGAGUUUCUCAAGGGUGCCUUGACAAGAUUUUCUCAGUUCUUUGUUUCACCCCUUGUAAAAAUUGAAGCCAUGGAGCGGGAGUUACAGGCUGUAGAUUCAGAGUUUAACCAGGUUCUGCAGAACAACUUCAAUGCCAUACAGCCUCACCUGGUCACCCAUUUAAUAGAUUCACAUGGGGUAAAACUUAAAUCUUGGGGUUUUACUUUUAUCUUUUCUUUUCUUUUUGCUCAAAUAAGAUUUUUAUUAUGUAUGCAACAAAUUUUAGUUGUGUAUACAUGAAAGGGAAUAAAAAGAGCUUUAGUGAUGCCGUGGAAAAAGGGAUCAACUUGCAGGAACAAAUAUUGAAAUUGUGCAGAGAUUGUUACCAUGGUGGAUUAAUGUAGCUAGUUGUCAUAGGAAGAGGUGAAAGUUUUCAUCUCUUUGUCUUGUUGUUUUCUUUGUUUUUACCAUUGUCUUUUGAAAGUUGAAUAUGGACAUGGAAUUUCUUAUAACCAAAAUUUGCUCGCAUUUGCUGCAAGGACUGUACGAUGAUUCUUUUGAGAAUUAUAGAGCUGGGCUAAUUGCAAAGCUAUUGGAGAAAGAUCCAUCCCUCCAUUAUGAAACCAAUCGAUUUUGGUUACAGAUUACCGAUAAAAUGCAUAUGUUUGACUAUGCAAAACGGGAAGCAGAACAACUCAGAAGCAUUCAGAAAGAGGAAGUCAUCAACUGGUACAAAACAUAUUUGCAACAAUCAUCUCCCAAGUGUCGGAGACUUGCAAUUUGUGUCUGGGGAUGCAACACAGACUUGAAAGAGGCUGAAGCACGGCCGGAGUCUGUAAAAGUCAUUGAAGACCUUGCAGCCUUUAAGAUGUCAUCUGAGUUCUAUCCUAGCAUUUCUGAAUUUUUGAUGGAAACUGAGCAUUUUGAGGUCUUAUUGUUUGCCAGGUUUUAUUUGCGUUUAUUAUAACCCACCUGGAAGAUGAAGGUUAAUCUCCUUGAUGUGAUAUGGUAGGGUUUGGAUUUGGUGAUUCACAUCAUAAGGUCUGAGUUAUAUUCAUAACCCAAGAUAUAAGAAGGAAAGUCAAGAGUAAUAAGGUCUGAGUCCUCAGAAACAAAGCUGAGAGCAGAAACUGGAAGCAAUUGUUGAAUGUGAAGAUGAUGCUCAGCCGCAGCACAAGAGGUAUGCCUUCUUCUCUUCCUGUUCCCCUCAUCAACAAUUUCAUGGCUUUGUUUCAUUCGAGAGAAACCCAUCUAGGAAAUCGACCCAACAUUAUUGUGAGUAAUGUUGAGGAUGCCUCCAUGUUGUUCCAAGAAAUGCUUCACUCCCGUCCUCUGGCUUCUUCUGUUAUCCCUUUCAGUCAAAUCUUGACUCAACUUUCCAAACUGACACUAUUCAGCAGUCGUCUCUUUGAAUAGUCAAAUGCUUCUCUGUGGAAUUGUUCCUAAUCACUAUACUCUCUCUACUAUUGUCAACUGCUAUUGCCAUUUGAAUCAAAUGGGGUUUGGCCUAUCUGUCUUAGGACAAUUCUUCAAAUUCGGUCUUCAACCGAAUGCUAUUGCCUUCAACACUCUGAUCCACGGCUUUGUUCUCCAUAAUCAAGUGGCUGAGGCUGCACGAAUUUUCACCAAAAUGCUGGAGGCAGGUCAUUGUAACCCCAAUGUGGUUACUUUCAACACUCUAACAAAGGGCUUUUGCAUGAGAGGAAACAACAGUGCGGCCAUGCAAUUACCUAGGAAGAUGGAAGAAAACGGUUGUGAGCCUAACAUAGUUUCCUAUAGCACCAUCAUUAACAGUCUUUGCAAGGAUACACUAGUUGUAGAUGCAAUGAACCUCUUCUCAGAAAUGAUUAGUAGAGGUAUUACUCCAGACGUUGUUACUUACACCUCUUUGAUUCAAGGAGUUUGCAAUAUAGGCCAGUGGAAACGAGCUACAAGGUUGCUUAAUGAAAUGUUUGAGUAAACGUAUCUUUCCAGAUGUCAAUGUCUUGGUUGAUACUUUCUGUAAGGAAAGGAUGGUUGUGGAAGCCAAAAGUGUGAUUGACAUGAUGAUUCAAAGCCUACUGUGGUUACAUACGGUUUGCUUAUGGACGGUUACUGUUUGCGAAGAGAAAUGGAUGAGGCAAGACAAAUUUUUGAUCUUAUGAUUAGCAAGGCCUCCAUGGUUAAUGUUUGGAGUUGUAACAUAUUGAUUAAUGGAUAUUGCAAGGCUAAAAAGAUCGAUCAGGCUUACAAGAUUUUCAAGGAAAUGCACCGUAUGGAACUUGUUCCCAAUACCGUUACUUAUACCACUCUUAUUUAUGGUUUUUGCAAAGCGGGAAGGAUUCAAGAAGCAGAAAAGCUGUUCUCUCAGAUGCAACGUUGUGGCCAACAUCCAAAUGUUCAAACUUAUGCUGUUUUACUUGAUGGCCUGUGUAACAACCAGCCAACUUUCUACGGCAAUAGAAUUGCUUAAAGAAAUGGAAACCAACAAAGUAGAACUUAAUAUUAUAGUUUACACUCUUGUUAUUGAAGGUUUGUGCAAAGCUGGAAAAAUUGAAUCCGCAAGAGAUCUCUUCUGUGGUUUGUCAUCAUUCGUAGUUUCUUUAAGUAUGUAAUGCAGUUUUCUGUUAAUAACUGCUUAUGAUGGUUAACUCCCAAUUAUAAUUACCAUUAGCAGUCACCACUCAGUUCUCUCAACCCAUGUUUUUGCAAACUAGAGAGCGAACAGGGAUAGAUGUGGUUGAAAUGCAGAACUUGGGUAAAGUACAGAGAAGCUUUAGCGAUGUACUAUUUCUGGAAAGUGUUUCCUGUGUACUUUUAGGUGAAAUUGUCCAAAAUAAUGGACAAUAUGCAUUCUACUUUACUCAGUUUUAUAGGUAAUAGCAUCAGAAUGGUUGGUUGUAACAACUUGUCUUCUCCCGAUUAGAGCUCCAGUAAUGUCAACAUCAUUUGCUGUUCACUUGAAAUACUUGGUUCCUUGUUAUGAUCUUUUCCUUGGACUUGAAAUUUGAUGUAAUUGAACCAUUGUGCACAUCACUUGCAGAGUUGGACUUCAUGGGAAGACUUGUAGCACCCUGCAACGGUGGUAAGUACUGAAUUGCUGAUAUCCAUGGUGGCAUUUUGCGGUUGUGACUAUUCAUUGUUUAAGAUAGGCUGCCAACCAAAAGUAUAAUUGCUGUACUACUCAAUAGAUUGUAAUUGAGCUCUUUUUGUUGCUUCUUAUAAACUUGGGGCUGAUGUCUAGUUGAUAAAUAGACACUGACCAAACUUGGGUCAUGUGAUUGGAUUGGUUUCUGUAAUCCAGCUUUGUUCCUAUUGUGAAAAGACUCAUAAUAAAGCUGAUUUGAACAUUUGAAACAGAUCACUUUCUCAGUA
This is an RNA transcript of Rosa chinensis, 5459 nucleotides long. It is a transcript of the gene named nardilysin-like, with no coding region annotated. The transcript has 9 exons. The record is from RefSeq and is a predicted model, not a curated record. NCBI's taxonomy places the organism in Eukaryota, Viridiplantae, Streptophyta, Magnoliopsida, Rosales, Rosaceae.